UGGGGAAUAUUGCGCAAUGGGGGAAACCCUGACGCAGCCAUGCCGCGUGAGUGAAGAAGGUCUUCGGAUCGUAAAGCUCUUUCAACGGUGAAGAUGAUGACGGUAGCCGUAGAAGAAGCCCCGGCUAACUCCGUGCCAGCAGCCGCGGUAAUACGGAGGGGGUUAGCGUUGUUCGGAAUUACUGGGCGUAAAGCGCACGUAGGCGGACCAGAAAGUUGGGGGUGAAAUCCCGGGGGCUCAACCCCGGAACUGCCUCCAAAACUAUUGGUCUAGAGUUCGAGAGAGGUGAGUGGAAUUCCAAGUGUAGAGGUGAAAUUCGUAGAUAUUUGGAGGAACACCAGUGGCGAAGGCGGCUCACUGGCUCGAUACUGACGCUGAGGUGCGAAAGUGUGGGGAGCAAACAGGAUUAGAUACCCUGGUAGUCCACACCGUAAAACGAUGAAUGCCAGUCGUCGGGUAGCAUGCUAUUCGGUGACACACCUAACGGAUUAAGCAUUCCGCCUGGGGAGUACGGUCGCAAGAUUAAAACUUAAAUGAAUUG
Molecule: ribosomal RNA, 541 nt
Filed under: uncultured bacterium
Lineage: Bacteria
Description: bacterial SSU rRNA
Rfam family: Bacterial small subunit ribosomal RNA
Source: RNAcentral